Molecule: ribosomal RNA, 769 nt
Filed under: Enterobacter roggenkampii
Lineage: Bacteria; Pseudomonadati; Pseudomonadota; Gammaproteobacteria; Enterobacterales; Enterobacteriaceae
Description: bacterial SSU rRNA
Source: RNAcentral
AAAUUGAAGAGUUUGAUCAUGGCUCAGAUUGAACGCUGGCGGCAGGCCUAACACAUGCAAGUCGAGCGGUAACACAGGGAGCUUGCUCCUGGGUGACGAGCGGCGGACGGGUGAGUAAUGUCUGGGAAACUGCCUGAUGGAGGGGGAUAACUACUGGAAACGGUAGCUAAUACCGCAUAACGUCGCAAGACCAAAGAGGGGGACCUUCGGGCCUCUUGCCAUCAGAUGUGCCCAGAUGGGAUUAGCUAGUAGGUGGGGUAACGGCUCACCUAGGCGACGAUCCCUAGCUGGUCUGAGAGGAUGACCAGCCACACUGGAACUGAGACACGGUCCAGACUCCUACGGGAGGCAGCAGUGGGGAAUAUUGCACAAUGGGCGCAAGCCUGAUGCAGCCAUGCCGCGUGUAUGAAGAAGGCCUUCGGGUUGUAAAGUACUUUCAGCGGGGAGGAAGGUGYUGAGGUUAAUAACCUCAGCAAUUGACGUUACCCGCAGAAGAAGCACCGGCUAACUCCGUGCCAGCAGCCGCGGUAAUACGGAGGGUGCAAGCGUUAAUCGGAAUUACUGGGCGUAAAGCGCACGCAGGCGGUCUGUCAAGUCGGAUGUGAAAUCCCCGGGCUCAACCUGGGAACUGCAUUCGAAACUGGCAGGCUAGAGUCUUGUAGAGGGGGGUAGAAUUCCAGGUGUAGCGGUGAAAUGCGUAGAGAUCUGGAGGAAUACCGGUGGCGAAGGCGGCCCCCUGGACAAAGACUGACGCUCAGGUGCGAAAGCG